Molecule: long non-coding RNA, 419 nt
Organism: Saccostrea cuccullata (small rock oyster)
Lineage: Eukaryota; Metazoa; Mollusca; Bivalvia; Ostreida; Ostreidae
Exons: 3
Source: RefSeq, a predicted model, not a curated record
AAUCUUGUGAUGUAUAUUCGAAAUCUUGUGAUGUAUGUUCGAUAAUCUUGUGAUGUAUAUUCGAAAUCUUGUGAUGUGUGUUCUACAAUUUAGUGAUGCGUGCAAUAAUAUUGCAUGACGCAACAGAAAAGUAAGGACAAUUUUCAUUGGUUAGAAAUAACGAAAGUAGCCGGAGCGCUGAUCCGAUGCACACAACUUCGCAAGUAUGAAAUUGGCGAAUUCAACCUAAAGUCAAAAUUAUAGGUACGUAUGAUCGAUGUAACUUCCUCGAUGGUGUGUUGGCUGUUUGCCCAUGUGUAUUUCGGGGUAUAGGAGUAGCCUCCCCUUUUAAAGAUCCAAAAUGGUGAUUUUACAGUGCGGCAUGCAGUCUGGUCAUCAACAGAGAGUUUUGACACCUGUAAUACCCAUAUUUCUACCAU